CCUACGGGAGGCUGCAGUGAGGAAUAUUGGUCAAUGGCCGAGAGGCUGAACCAGCCAAGUCGCGUGAGGGAUGACGGCCCUACGGGUUGUAAACCUCUUUUGUCGGGGAGCAAAGAGAGUCACGUGUGGCUCAUUGAGAGUACCCGAAGAAAAAGCAUCGGCUAACUCCGUGCCAGCAGCCGCGGUAAUACGGAGGAUGCGAGCGUUAUCCGGAUUUAUUGGGUUUAAAGGGUGCGCAGGCGGAGGUGCAAGUCAGUGGUCAAAUUGCGGGGCUCAACCCCGUACUGCCGUUGAAACUGCAUCCCUUGAGUGCAGAAGAGGAGAGUGGAACUCCAUGUGUAGCGGUGAAAUGCGUAGAUAUAUGGAAGAACACCAGUGGCGAAAGCGGCUCUCUGGUCUGUAACUGACGCUGAGGUUCGAAAGCGUGGGUAGCAAACAGGAUUAGAUACCCUGGUAGUC
This 459-nucleotide ribosomal RNA is filed under the name uncultured bacterium. RNAcentral describes it as "partial 16S ribosomal RNA". It matches the Rfam family "Bacterial small subunit ribosomal RNA", at positions 338 to 795 of the family's 1533-position model. The record is from RNAcentral.